RNAcentral lists this ribosomal RNA (466 nucleotides) under Gemella morbillorum. RNAcentral's name for it is "bacterial SSU rRNA". It matches the Rfam family "Bacterial small subunit ribosomal RNA", at positions 28 to 478 of the family's 1533-position model. The record is from RNAcentral. Lineage: Bacteria; Bacillati; Bacillota; Bacilli; Caryophanales; Gemellaceae.
GACGAACGCUGGCGGCGUGCCUAAUACAUGCAAGUCGAGCGAAGUUUUUCUGGUGCUUGCACUAGAAAAACUUAGCGGCGAACGGGUGAGUAACACGUAAAGAACCUGCCUCAUAGACUGGGACAACUAUUGGAAACGAUAGCUAAUACCGGAUAACAGCAUUAACUGCAUGGUUGAUGUUUGAAAGUUGGUUAUGCUAACACUAUGAGAUGGCUUUGCGGUGCAUUAGCUAGUUGGUGGGGUAAAGGCCCACCAAGGCGACGAUGCAUAGCCGACCUGAGAGGGUGAUCGGCCACACUGGGACUGAGACACGGCCCAGACUCCUACGGGAGGCAGCAGUAGGGAAUCUUCCGCAAUGGGCGAAAGCCUGACGGAGCAACGCCGCGUGAGUGAAGAAGGAUUUCGGUUCGUAAAGCUCUGUUGUUAGGGAAGAAUGGAUAUGUAGUAACUAUACAUGUACGAAGAC